GAGGUAGUGGUGAUAGGCUCAGUGGCCAGAAUAGUACUGGAUUUGGCCAUUUAGAAAGAAUGUGAUGCAAAUAAGAAGUUAUGGAAGGGAGAUAAGCAAAAAUAGCACUCAAGUGACAGUACAGGGGAGGAAAAUGGUGCAGAUUGGGUAAGAGAUAAGCUUGCCGGAAAUUGCCUUGCCGGAGAAUUUGAAAGCAAAGAGUCAGUAAAAGUGAUAAUGAGGGGGGAAGGGGAGUUUUUAUAAGGAGU
RNAcentral lists this long non-coding RNA (248 nucleotides) under Panax ginseng (ginseng). Its description in RNAcentral is "long non-coding RNA (PGIN_LNC012430)". Lineage: Eukaryota; Viridiplantae; Streptophyta; Magnoliopsida; Apiales; Araliaceae. The record is from RNAcentral.